GACGAACGCUGGCGGCGUGCUUAACACAUGCAAGUCGAACGGAAAGGCCCUGCUUUUGUGGGGUGCUCGAGUGGUGAACAGGUGAGUAACACGUGAGUAACCUGCCCUUGACUUUGGGAUAACUUCAGGAAACUGGGGCUAAUACCGGAUAGGAGCUCCUGCUGCAUGGUGGGGGUUGGAAAGUUUCGGCGGUUGGGGAUGGACUCGCGGCUUAUCAGCUUGUUGGUGGGGUAGUGGCUUACCAAGGCUUUGACGGGUAGCCGGCCUGAGAGGGUGACCGGCCACAUUGGGACUGAGAUACGGCCCAGACUCCUACGGGAGGCAGCAGUGGGGAAUAUUGCACAAUGGGCGGAAGCCUGAUGCAGCAACGCCGCGUGCGGGAUGACGGCCUUCGGGUUGUAAACCGCUUUCGCCUGUGACGAAGCGUGAGUGACGGUAAUGGGUAAAGAAGCACCGGCUAACUACGUG
This 468-nucleotide ribosomal RNA is filed under the name uncultured bacterium. RNAcentral's name for it is "partial 16S ribosomal RNA". It matches the Rfam family "Bacterial small subunit ribosomal RNA", at positions 28 to 507 of the family's 1533-position model. The record is from RNAcentral.